GCCGAAUUAGCUCAGUUGGGAGAGCGUUAGACUGAAGAUAUAGAGGUCCCUUGUUGGAUCCCGGGUUUCGGCA
Molecule: non-coding RNA, 73 nt
Organism: Ixodes scapularis (black-legged tick)
Lineage: Eukaryota; Metazoa; Arthropoda; Arachnida; Ixodida; Ixodidae
Source: Rfam